GUCAGAAGCCAUGGAGUCAGCAUUAUCACCAAGGAUAUUAUUGAAUACCCAAAUAAAACGAACUGAUACAUAUUUCUCCAAAACCUUCACAAGAAGUCGACUGUUUUCUUUAGUAGGCUAACUUUUUAAACAUUCCACAAGAGGAAGUGCCUGCGGGUUCCUUUUUUAGAAGCUUUUCUGUCCAUGUGAAUGUGCUGUGUGGAAGAGUUAAAGGGCCCAACUAAAUGUUCCAGUGAUUCCAAUAGCUAUUUAGCUGGUACCUACUGCUAUAUCACCUAGUGUGACAUUUCGGAAUUAAUGGAACAAUGAAGGAAGCUGUACACUGGAGGUUCCAGGUGGUCAUGGAAGGUUUCCAGUUUAUGCAAACUUCUGUGAAAAUGAGCUUUGUUAUUGGUGAAGACAUUGGAAAUUUUACCAGCCAAAACAGAGUUUCUCUCUUAU
This 441-nucleotide long non-coding RNA is filed under the name Homo sapiens (human). Its description in RNAcentral is "non-protein coding lnc-HNRNPU-1:11". Lineage: Eukaryota; Metazoa; Chordata; Mammalia; Primates; Hominidae. The record is from RNAcentral.